ACACCGUUGGUGAAGUGGUUAUCAUGCUUGCCUUCCACUUGGGUCCGUGUUGAAGCAAGCGGCUCGGGUUCGAUUCCCGAACGGUGUA
Non-coding RNA from Marasmius sp. AFHP31, 88 nucleotides. The record is from the annotation of a GenBank genome assembly. NCBI's taxonomy places the organism in Eukaryota, Fungi, Basidiomycota, Agaricomycetes, Agaricales, Marasmiaceae.